UGGCGGAGCGUCGUUUGCGACGCCCAACACAUAAAACAAGCGGUGAGUGCUUUGGGGUGGGGUGACUGCGUACCUUUUGUAUAAUGGGUCAGCGACUUAUAUUCUGUAGCAAGGUUAACCGAAUAGGGGAGCCGCAGGGAAACCGAGUCUUAAUUGGGCGUUAAGUUGCAGGGUAUAGACCCGAAACCCGGUGAUCUAGCCAUGGGCAGGUUGAAGGUUGGGUAACACUAACUGGAGGACCGAACCGACUAAUGUUGAAAAAUUAGCGGAUGACCUGUGGCUGGGGGUGAAAGGCCAAUCAAACCGGGAGAUAGCUGGUUCUCCCCGAAAGCUAUUUAGGUAGCGCCUCGUGAAUUCAUCUCCGGGGGUAGAGCACUGUUUCGGCUAGGGGGCCAUCCCGGCUUACCAACCCGAUGCAAACUGCGAAUACCGGAGAAUGUUAUCACGGGAGACACACGGCGGGUGCUAACGUCCGUCGUGAAGAGGGAAACAACCCAGACCGCCAGCUAAGGUCCCAAAGUCAUGGUUAAGUGGGAAACGAUGUGGGAAGGCCCAGACAGCCAGGAUGUUGGCUUAGAAGCAGCCAUCAUUUAAAGAAAGCGUAAUAGCUCACUGGUCGAGUCGGCCUGCGCGGAAGAUGUAACGGGGCUAAACCAUGCACCGAAGCUGCGGCAGCGACGCUGAUGCGUUGUUGGGUAGGGGAGCGUUCUGUAAGCCUGUGAAGGUGGCCUGUGAGGGUUGCUGGAGGUAUCAGAAGUGCGAAUGCUGACAUAAGUAACGAUAAAGCGGGUGAAAAGCCCGCUCGCCGGAAGACCAAGGGUUCCUGUCCAACGUUAAUCGGGGCAGGGUGAGUCGACCCCUAAGGCGAGGCCGAAAGGCGUAGUCGAUGGGAAACGGGUUAAUAUUCCCGUACUUGGUGUUACUGCGAAGGGGGGACGGAGAAGGCUAUGUUGGCCGGGCGACGGUUGUCCCGGUUUAAGCGUGUAGGUGUGUGUUCCAGGUAAAUCCGGUUCACUUUAACACUGAGGCGUGACGACGAGGCACUACGGUGCUGAAGCAACAAAUGCCCUGCUUCCAGGAAAAGCCUCUAAGCAUCAGGUAACAUCAAAUCGUACCCCAAACCGACACAGGUGGUCAGGUAGAGAAUACCAAGGCGCUUGAGAGAACUCGGGUGAAGGAACUAGGCAAAAUGGUGCCGUAACUUCGGGAGAAGGCACGCUGACACGUAGGUGAAGUGAUUUACUCAUGGAGCUGAAGUCAGUCGAAGAUACCAGCUGGCUGCAACUGUUUAUUAAAAACACAGCACUGUGCAAACACGAAAGUGGACGUAUACGGUGUGACGCCUGCCCGGUGCCGGAAGGUUAAUUGAUGGGGUCAGCGCAAGCGAAGCUCCUGAUCGAAGCCCCGGUAAACGGCGGCCGUAACUAUAACGGUCCUAAGGUAGCGAAAUUCCUUGUCGGGUAAGUUCCGACCUGCACGAAUGGCGUAAUGAUGGCCAGGCUGUCUCCACCCGAGACUCAGUGAAAUUGAACUCGCUGUGAAGAUGCAGUGUACCCGCGGCAAGACGGAAAGACCCCGUGAACCUUUACUAUAGCUUGACACUGAACAUUGAGCCUUGAUGUGUAGGAUAGGUGGGAGGCUUUGAAGUGUGGACGCCAGUCUGCAUGGAGCCGACCUUGAAAUACCACCCUUUAAUGUUUGAUGUUCUAACGUGGACCCGUGAUCCGGGUUGCGGACAGUGUCUGGUGGGUAGUUUGACUGGGGCGGUCUCCUCCUAAAGAGUAACGGAGGAGCACGAAGGUUGGCUAAUCCUGGUCGGACAUCAGGAGGUUAGUGCAAUGGCAUAAGCCAGCUUGACUGCGAGCGUGACGGCGCGAGCAGGUGCGAAAGCAGGUCAUAGUGAUCCGGUGGUUCUGAAUGGAAGGGCCAUCGCUCAACGGAUAAAAGGUACUCCGGGGAUAACAGGCUGAUACCGCCCAAGAGUUCAUAUCGACGGCGGUGUUUGGCACCUCGAUGUCGGCUCAUCACAUCCUGGGGCUGAAGUAGGUCCCAAGGGUAUGGCUGUUCGCCAUUUAAAGUGGUACGCGAGCUGGGUUUAGAACGUCGUGAGACAGUUCGGUCCCUAUCUGCCGUGGGCGCUGGAGAACUGAGGGGGGCUGCUCCUAGUACGAGAGGACCGGAGUGGACGCAUCACUGGUGUUCGGGUUGUCAUGCCAAUGGCACUGCCCGGUA
RNAcentral lists this ribosomal RNA (2232 nucleotides) under Salmonella enterica subsp. enterica serovar Bahati. RNAcentral describes it as "partial 23S ribosomal RNA". It matches the Rfam family "Bacterial large subunit ribosomal RNA". The record is from RNAcentral. Lineage: Bacteria; Pseudomonadati; Pseudomonadota; Gammaproteobacteria; Enterobacterales; Enterobacteriaceae.